UUUAAGAAUUUUAUUAUUAGGUUUUAUUAUUGAAAUUAGUCUUAAUUUUAUUAGUUUUUUUGAACAAAGAGAUUUUAUUAUAGUUAAUUAGUAAAGUGGUUGAAAUUUUGAAUUAAUUUUUAUUUAAUUAAAAGAAGAAUUUGGUUUUUGUACCUUGUGUAUCAGGGUUGAUAUAUUAUAAUUUAUAUAUAUAAAUUUCCCGAAUUAAGAAGAUCUAUUUAAAUAUUUAUUUAAUUGUUUCAUAAAUUUUUAAAAUAUUUUUAUAGUAAUGAAACGUUAUUCGUUUCUUAAUAUAUCUGGUUUUUUAAGAAAAGAAUUUAAUUCUAUUAUUUUUUAUUAAAAAUUAAUUUUUUAAUUUUUAUAUUUGAAUAUUAAAUAUUUUUGGGGAUGAGCUUAAAAAUAUAAUACUAAAAAUUGUUAUAGGUUGCUUGAUUAGUAUAAUUAGAAUUGUUAAACUUUAGAAUAAUUUUAUAGUUAUUUUAGCUUAAAUUUUAUUUAUAUUUGUUUUAGUUUUUAUAUUAAAAUUUUUUUGUAAAUUAUUUUUGAUUAGUAAUACUUAUUAAAUUAGUAAAUUUAUAUUGUAUUUUUAAUUAUAGUUGGUAGGUUGAAAAAAGGAAUUCGGCAAAAUUGUUUUUCGCCUGUUUAAUAAAAACAUGGCCUUUUGAUUAUAAUUUAAGGUUUGACCUGCUCAAUGAGUAGUUAAAUUGCCGCGGUAUUUUGACCGUGCAAAGGUAGCAUAAUAAUUAGUUUUUUUAUUGGAAGCUGGAAUGAAUGGUUGGACGAGAGAACUACUGUCUCUUUUUAAUUUUAUUUUUAAUUUAACUUUUAAGUUAAAAGGCUUAAAUUUUUAUUAAAGACGAGAAGACCCUAUAGAGUUUAACAUUUCUUUAUUUAUUUUCUUUUUAGAAUUUUAAUGGAUUUAAUUUUAGAAUUGUUUGGUUGGGGUGACCAGAAGAUUAAAAAAACUCUUCUAUUUGAAUCAUAGAUUUUUGAAUGGAUAAUCUAGUUUUUCUAAAUUUAAUAUAAAUUACCUUAGGGAUAACAGCGUAAUUUCUUUUUAGAGUUCUUAUUGAAAGAGAAGUUUGCGACCUCGAUGUUGGAUUAAAAUUUAUUUUUGGUGCAAAAGCUAAACAAUUAAGUCUGUUCGACUUUUAAAAUUUUACAUGAUCUGAGUUUAAACCGGUGUGAGCCAGGUUGGUUUCUAUCUUAAUUAUUUUUUUAUAUUUUAGUACGAAAGGACCAAAUAUAAGAUAUAUGGUAUUUUAUUUUUGAAUAUUAUU
RNAcentral lists this ribosomal RNA (1280 nucleotides) under Melanotus cribricollis. Its description in RNAcentral is "16S ribosomal RNA". The stretch from base 851 to 1210 matches the Rfam family "Archaeal large subunit ribosomal RNA", at positions 2151 to 2715 of the family's 2987-position model. The record is from RNAcentral. Lineage: Eukaryota; Metazoa; Arthropoda; Insecta; Coleoptera; Elateridae.